GAAAACACACCUAAAAACAAACAACAAUGCCAAUCCAAUUGCUUGGUUUGAGAUCUUGUUUUUUGGGUUCUGAUGAAUUUUUUGUUUUUGUUUUCUAUCUUCUUUCUUUAAUCUCUGAAUAAUUCCUGCAUUUGCUUAGCUUGCAACUCAGACCUGACAGCAGUGCAAUUCAAACCAGCUUGUUUCUCCCUCCAUUAUUAUAUUACUCCUUCCUCUCUCUUUCUCUUUUUUCUUAUAUUGUAAUGGAAAUGCACAA
RNAcentral lists this long non-coding RNA (256 nucleotides) under Zostera marina. RNAcentral's name for it is "long non-coding RNA (ZMAR_LNC004637)". The record is from RNAcentral. Lineage: Eukaryota; Viridiplantae; Streptophyta; Magnoliopsida; Alismatales; Zosteraceae.